UACGAAGGGUGCAAACGUUGCUCGGAAUUAUUGGGCGUAAAGCGCACGUAGGCGGCUUGGCAAGUCGGAUGUGAAAUCCCUCGGCUCAACCAAGGAAGUGCAUCCGAAACUGCUAAGCUUGAGUACUUAAGAGGAUCGCGGAAUUCCCGGUGUAGAGGUGAAAUUCGUAGAUAUCGGGAGGAACACCAGUGGCGAAAGCGGCUUCCUGGUCCAGCACCGACGUUCAGGCACGAAAGCGUGGGGAGCAAACAGG
This 253-nucleotide ribosomal RNA is filed under the name uncultured bacterium. RNAcentral's name for it is "partial 16S ribosomal RNA". It matches the Rfam family "Bacterial small subunit ribosomal RNA", at positions 524 to 776 of the family's 1533-position model. The record is from RNAcentral.